UUCGUUUUCUAGUAAAUACAGGACACUGUUUUGUUUGUUUUGGUUUUUAUUUUUAUUAUUGUUUUUUUUGAAAUUUUUUCUUGAAACGCCCCCGAACCUGCAAAGGGACUUUGCAGAAAGUCUAGAGAGGAUGUUGAGGACUAUCUUGUUAAGUUAAUCGUAAAAUUUAUCCAAAUAAAAAGUUAAGUGUAUUAUGAUUUUCUUUUUCUUCACGAUUUGGUUUCACCGAUCAAAGAAAAACUAAAACUUUUUUGUUGGUUAUUUUUGCUUUUCCAAUUCUGUUGGACUUCAGGUUUUUGGUUGUAGUUUCAGGGGAAAAAUUAAGCAAAAGGAAAAAGAAAAUCUGGCCAGUCUUUCUUCACCAUUGAAAGCCUCUGCUUGAUCUUGAAGAAGGUGAAACUUACGGUAUCGCUUUGAUGAACCAGAGACGCAGAAGGAGGGGAUGGUUCACUAUUAAUAAUCCUUCACUUGUUUUGGUAUAUAGGAGGCUAAUACUUGGAUAGCAUAGUUGGGACCUGAUGGCAUGGCACUUGCAAAACGUUUUUCUAAUUUUUGUUGCUGCAUGAAGACUUGCUAUGGUAUUGUGACAUAGUUACUCUGAAUUUAUGGCAACAAAAUGCUUCAUAGUUGAAGAUAUCAAAUUGAAAUUUUAGACCUUGGUUUUCCAAACAAUAAAGAGGUGUAAAUAUAUUUGUACAUUUCUUUUUUUUCUUUUUUUCUUUUUUUUUUGUUUUGUUUUGCACAAAUUUGUGCAUAGUUUUGCAAUUUUAUUGUUAGUUUACUAUCUAUAAUUUUGAUCUAUAAACAUUCCGUGAAAUGGUGUUUUUUGUUAUUCAAGUAAUAAUUGCAGAGUGAUAUUAUGGUGGAGAAUUGACAUGUGGAAUAUGGAACCAAACUCCAGUAAAUGGAAGAAAAGAAAAAGUAGUUUUGGUAAAAUUUGGAAGAGAAUGAGAAAACAUAAAAUUUUUUGGCUAAAUUUUUAACUAAGUAAUGUUAUCUAUCAUCCUUUAUUAUUUUUAGACCAAAAUGUUUUCAUUAGGUUUUAUAAUUCUAUAUAUGCAAUACCAACAAAAGGGGAUCUUAUAUGGGAAUGUGAUGGAGAAGCAAGUUCUUAGAAUCAUCUAUUCUCACUUUGUUCCAGUGCUACUUUAACUUUGCUUGAUGCAAAAUGCUAAGGUUUAAGUUCCUUUCCAUAUUUCAAGCUAUAAUUUCAUAGUUUACCAAGCAAUUGAUUAUAUGUAUAAUAAGGGAUUGUUUUGUAUUUAAAUUGCUAUUUUUAAUGCUUGUUUUGUAUUUAAAUUGCUAUUUUUUAUGCUUGCUUUUGUUUUUUAUUUUUUAUUUUUUGGUUCCUUCUCUUUUCGUUUAUGUGUUAAUUUAUUUUCUGCAAAAUGUUUCCGUUUGUGGUAGUCCUUUUAUUCUUGAUAUAUGUUAAUAGAAAAUUUCAGACUUAUUGGGUGUUAAAUAUAGUGAGUCCAUUAUAUCCUUCUACUUUUGUUUGGAAGUGUUGGCCAUUUCUCAUAUUUGUUGUUGUUGAUGUGAUGCUGUAUUUCUAUAUCUCAAACUUUUAUUAUUUAUUCAAUUUUAUUGAAUUUCCUUUCCAUUGUUGUUCAUUUUGGUAGUGGAAGAGUUAUUAACUUUGCUGAAGUGCUUGAAACUGAAGAAUUGCUAGCAAAGCUUGCACCAUAAAAUUACUAGCUGCUUACAAGAGUACCAUACAAGUACUAGCUGCUUACAAGAGUAAACGUGGCUUAAAUAUUGAUCCAAAGUUAAAUCUGUGUGUGAGAAAGUUUGUUACUUUUUCAAUUUGUAUGUCAUACACUAUAUCCUGUUAAAAGCUCUCUAACUCUAUUUUUUUCAUGACCUUCUUCUUACUCAACAUUACUGGUUCAUUUAAUUUCAUUAAAAUUGACUUUCAAUUGCAAAGAAGUAGUUGAGUAUAUUUUCAGCUACAGUUAGAAAUAGAAAUGUAGAGACAUAAUUGGUCUAUUCAUGUAGAAUGUGAAAAUUGUAUACAGGCAUUAAAGGAUGGUGACGCGUUGAUGAAUCUUGGAACGCUUAACAAUGGACUACCCUGUUGUGUAACGGUUAUGGAUAAAAUGAUAUUCUUGGUACUUUUUUGCUGCUUAGAUUACUUAAAUUGUGCUUCAUAGAUUCAAAAAAUAAAAUAAUUUAUGCAAAUAUUGUUUAUACAAAAUAAUUGCAUAUAAUGUUACACUAUAUCUAUGUACAUCAUUAUUUAUUUCUUGCAAAAUUUUUCAUACAUUAAGCUUUAUGGAUUAGCUGCUUUGUAAUGGUCUAUUUAUCAAGAUUCCUGUCAUAGGUGUAUAUCUAUUUUGAGCUUUCUCAAAAUCUAACAUAACCAUUUGAUACAAACUUUACAUUGAUUUUGGAAUGAGUCUGUUGAAGUCGUAUUUUGAUAACAAUGAAGUGUACAAUAAUUAUCUCUUUGUACAAGGGAUUUUAAUGUCUGUUUUUAGCUUUAGAAAUGGUGUAAAAAAAUUGAAAGUAUCAAAAUUUGCAGAAUAAGAAUCACGUGGACAGGCAUUCACUCCAAUGUUCAUGAUUGCUUAACCCUUGCUUCUAUUGUGAUGACCUAUUUACGUUUUCAAGUAUACCGAUCAAAAGUCGUUUUGGGGUUAUCUUAAUUUAAGACAAAUAUAUAGAUUUAAGUUUGUGCCAAAAUGGAAUUACAAACUAAAAAUUUCGUAGAAAGCAUGAUAAAUCUAGGAGCUAGGUUCUGCUGAUGCUUCUUUAAGGUUUUUCAUUCAUAUGUUAUGAUUGACUAAUAGUCGAGUGCCUCUUAUACUAUCAGAUACUUCUGAAGCACAGCCUUAAUGGGUUUCGUUAAUUAGUUUCUUUUAAUCUUUUUAUUUGGGUUUUAUGUGUUUUCUAAUACGUUUGCCAUGUUUCACUUGUAUACAAGUUUUAUAUUCGAAGAGCCUCCAUUUUAUAACUCCCGUACAUAUAAUUGUAAAUACUACUCAUCCCAACUAUUUUAUCCAAAAAUGUGGAGGAAAAUAUCUUCUACUUUCCAACUACUUCAGGUACAAAAUAUGAAUUCUUUCUACCAUUCAGCCUCAUUGAAAGCCUAUUGAUUAGGAUUCUUGCUUUAGGAUUGGCCUGUUAUUCGUAAUUCUAUUAACAUAUACUUAACUAUGCUUUUCCUAAUAAAUUUUAUCAGCUGUUGAUGGGAACAAGGUAAACAGCCUCGAUAUGAACAAUGGUAACUCUUGCUUUUGAGAAAAAUAUUUUCUUUUUUUUUUUACCUCCUUCUGCACUUUAUCAUUAUUCUGUUUUCAAGUUUUUAUUUGACAAUUGAUUCCCUGUUUGAGUGCUUCACAUCGGUUCCCCCCUCUCUUUGAGUGCUUCACAUCAGUUCCCCCCUCUUUCUGAGUGCUUCACAUCUGUUUUGAUCAUUCUUAUAGAAAAAAUUUGUUCCCUUUGUUCAGUUAAAAAGGAAAGAUGCUGGAGUUUGUAUGUUCCGUUUGGUUUCUGCCACGCCUUCAUUAUGUAGACUCAAAUUAGUAUGUUAUUACAUUACCCAAAAAAAAAAAAAAAAAAAAAAAAGAAAAAAGAAAAAAAAAAUAGUAUGUUAUUAAUUGCAUAAAGUUUUAGGUAUUGUGGGUUUGGGGGGAAAAAAAUUUACAAGUAUGAUUUUUAUAAGAAGAUGAUCGAAUCUGAUUAGCAGAAAUACCUUUGUACAUUUUUACCCUUUUAUUCUUGUUUUUCCAUGCAACUGCAUUUUAUAUUUCAAAUAUCUGGGAUACUUCUAUCUUGUCUUUAUAUGCAACUGGGUGCUAUAUUUUCAUAUCUCUAGGAUACUUCUAUUUGACUUUAUUCUUGCUUCUAUGUUUAUAUGGUGAACGUGGAGCAUUAAUUCAAGAAAUCAUAAGUUUUUGGUCUAUGGCUAUCUUGAGAGUAAUAGCCUUGCAAUAAUAUUUCUUGGUAAUUCAAUUAUUUUAAAUUUCUUAAUUUGGCUUCAAUACUAUAUGAGUAGUGAUUUUGUUUCUCUAUGCUUUUAGGUGGAGAUCACAGUUCUUUCUUUUAUUUUAUUUUUAAUGGUUUUGUUCCAAUCCAGAAAAAGUAUCCAACAAGGUCUUAUUAUGUUCAAAUUUCACUUGUAUGGAAUUUAACAAUAGUUGAUAAUUGGAGAAUAUCUGAAUCCUGAAGCUUAUAUGCAAGCUAAAUUGGUUUUUUAUUUUAUUUUAUUUUAUUUUUUCAUUUUUUUUUUCUUUUUGGCAAAUUCAGUAUCCAUUGAUAAACAAUUUCUUUUUUUUUUUUUGGUGCAUAAUUUUUUAACAGAAUGGUUCUUAAACUUUUAGAAUGGAAAAUAUAGAAAUGCUCAAAGACUAGUCAUUCUAGCAGCCUAUUUGCUGGCUUCUUUCUGUAGAGUGCAUGUCAAUCAUUUAGAAUUUGUAUCUCAAUACAUCAAAUCUAAUUAGAAGUUAAAUCAAAUCUGUUGAGUGUGAGAAGCUGGUGAACUUGGUGCUGUUAUUUUAUAAUAGUACAUAUUUUCAUAUUUAAAAGAAUGUCCAAACUAGAUACUCAACAUAUCAAAGGGAAGCAUUUGAUUCGAGGACUUGGUGCUUGUACCAUACCAAAUGUUCUGGAUGUUGGCAUUCUUGUUGGAAAAUUUUUUAGUUCUAAAGCUAUUUCACUAGUUAUUUUGGUAUAUGAUUGAUUGAUAUCAUAAUGCAUUUUCUUUUGCUAUUUGGUAUCCAUGGAAAUAUUAAUAACUUUGUUUUUGUUAGCUUCUAAUUCAUAUAUGAAUUUUUUUUUAGUGAUUGCUGAAGUUUCUAUAACAUUAAAGAUACAAGCGAGCAAGCUCUUCAAAGUGCUAAGCUGCUUGUAUUAAAAUGUCUUUGGUAUGGUAUGGCCUCUAAAAAAUACCCUUGAUGGAUCUAGCAUUUUGUAGCAUUCCAUUUUUUAUUUUAUGAGAAUUCUUAGAUAUUUAUUAUUUUUAGGCAUUAUAAAUUUUCCAAUUAUCAUCCUAAUAACUUUUGCAAGUAGAGGUUUCAUUUGAUGUUGCAGCUGCUGCUGCAAUUAAGUACGCAAAGAGGUUGGAAAAUACUGCAAAACUCAUUGUUCUAAAUCUAGUUUCCUUCUUUUCAUCAACAUUCCCGCUGCUACUAUAAUGCUUCAUUUAAUUAUUAUUAUUUUUUUUUAACGUGCAAAAAAUGUUUUUUCUGAUAACCAAGUAGAUAUGUAUUUCCAAAAUCCAUGUAUAAAAUCAGGAUGCAAGCGCUCACUUUUUGGAGGUCUAAUUGAGCUGCUUUAAUGGCAAUAUGAAUGCGCUUGGCUCAUUACACACAGUUCCUUUGCAAGGCUUGGAUUGAGAUCUGUCACUGGUUCUGUUAAUCUAGCUCCAACCAAUCAAGAGGAGUUUAUGACUAGCCAGCUAAUUGUAAUAUUGUAGUUUCCUCUUCUUAGUUAUCAAUGUUGACUUUUUUGUGCUGUUUGUUUCUUUGCAAAGUUUAGUCAGUGAAAAACAAGAUAUUGAAAUAAAGCAGAAACUAAUGCAAUAUAUACGUUGGAUAUCAUACAUCAUACAUAUUAAAAUAUUA
Long non-coding RNA from Ziziphus jujuba (common jujube), 5564 nucleotides. RefSeq lists it as uncharacterized. Lineage: Eukaryota; Viridiplantae; Streptophyta; Magnoliopsida; Rosales; Rhamnaceae. The record is from RefSeq and is a predicted model, not a curated record. The transcript is spliced from 4 exons.